CUUGGGAGGCAGAGGCAGACAGA
RNAcentral lists this non-coding RNA (23 nucleotides) under Cricetulus griseus (Chinese hamster). Lineage: Eukaryota; Metazoa; Chordata; Mammalia; Rodentia; Cricetidae. The record is from RNAcentral.